This 599-nucleotide small RNA is filed under the name Pan troglodytes (chimpanzee). Its description in RNAcentral is "processed transcript". Lineage: Eukaryota; Metazoa; Chordata; Mammalia; Primates; Hominidae. The record is from RNAcentral.
UCCUGUUACUGUCCCGCGAACCCACAUCCCUACAAAGCAGGAAAGUAUGCUUGGGAGAGGCCAAGUGAGUGGGGAAUCAGCCCAAAGCCAGGCAUCCAGGGUCUCCCUCACCUGAAGCUGACUUUUUCCCCACCUUGGACAGAGGGCGGGAGAUGCCAUCCCCACUGAACCCAGUGCUUUCACCAGCCAUAUUAGCUCCCACUCACCCCCCGUCGUGGAAGCCUCGGCCGUCACACCUGCAGGGCCGGGGCGUGCAUGGCCUCAGGGAUGGCCUGUUCAGCUGCUGGGUGACUCAGGUCCAGGUGCCUCACCACCUGCUGAGCUCUGUGUGAUUUCUGGACACUUCUGCUGAUUGCCUUUGGGCUCAGUGAAGAGUCUGGAGUUUAUCUGGAGUGAGGUGGCCGGGUCUUGGUGGGAUCUGAGCAGGUGGAGGCAAUGCCCAGAGCUGUGGCAGCCACCUUGCAGCCGUGAAGCACCAGUGGGAAUGACAGUCAAGAGAACCAUGGAGAUGCCAGCCCCUGGACCCACAGCAGCAGCACCUGCUUCCAGACUGAGAGUGUGAGAAAAAAAUAAACCCCUAUUUGUUUAUGGCAAGGUUA